UUUGGUUCUUGUGAAGGUUGACCUCGAUUCGUUCCAAAUUUACACUCUCGGGGCACAAUAGAACAAUAUAAUUAGCUUUUACUCUUUGUUCGAUUAAAUGAGAAAAAGUACUCGUUGCAAAGUUUUACUGUUAGGGCGCAACUGAGUAGUCUUUUUUUGUUCCGGUUUUGGUUCUUUUGAAGGUUGACAUCCAUUCGUUCCAUAUUUACACUCUCGCGAUAUAAUAGAACAAUAUAAUUAGCUAUUACUCUUUGUUCGAUUGAAUGAGAAAAAGUACUCGUUGCAAGUUAUCCUGUUAGGGCGCAACUGAGUAGUCUAUUUUUGUUCCAGUUUUGGUUCUUGUGAAGUUUGACAUCGAUUCGUUCCAAAUUUACACUCUCGGGGCAUAAUAGAACAAUAUAAUUUGCUUUUACUCUUUGUUCGAUUGAAUGAGAAAAAGUACUGGUCGCAAAGUUAUAUUGUUAGGGCGGAACUGAGUAGUCUUUUUUUGUUCCGGUUUUGGUUCUUGUGAAGGUUGACCUCGAUUCGUUCCAAAUUUACACUCUCCGGACACAAUAGAACAAUAUAAUUAGCUUUUACUCUCUGUUCGAUUAAAUGAGAAAUAGUACUCGUUGCAAUAUUAUACUGUUAGGGCGCAUCUGAGUAGUCUCCUUUUGUUCCGGUUUUGGUGUUUUUGAAGGUUGAUAUCCAUUCGUACCAUAUUUACACUCUCGCGGUAUAAUAGAACAAUAUAAUUAGAUUUUACUCUUUGUUCGAUUGAAUAAGAAAAAGUACUCGUUGCAAAGUUAUACUGUUAGGGCGCAACUGAGUAGUCUAUUUUUGUUCCAGUUUUGGUUCUUGUGAAUGUUGACAUCGAUUCGUUCCAAAUUUACACUCUCGGGACACAAUAGAACAAUAUAAUUAGCUUUAACUCUUUAUUGUAUUAAAUGAGAAAAAGUACUCGUUGCAAAGUUAUACUGUUGGGGUGCAACUGAGUAGUCUUUUUUUGUUCCGGUUUUGGUUCUUUUAAAGGUUGACAUCAAUUCGUUCCAUAUUUACACUCUCGGGGUAUAAUAGAACAAUAUAAUUAGCUUUUACUCUUUGUUCGAUUGAAUGAUAAAAAGUACUCGUUACAAAGUUAUACAGUUAGGGCGUAACUGAGUAGUCUACAUUUGUUCCGGUUUAGGUUCUUUUGAAAGUUGACAUCCAUUCGUACCAUAUUUACACUCUCGCGGUAUAUUAGAACAAUAUAAUUCGAUUUUACUCUUUGUUCGAUUGAAUAAAAAAAAGUACUCGUUCCAAAGUUAUACUGUUUGGGCGCAACUGAGUAGUCUAUUUUUUUUCCGGUUUUGGUUCUUGUGAAUGUUGACAUCGAUUAGUUCCAAAUUUACACUCUCGGGGCACAAUAGAACAAUAUAAUUAGAUUUAACUCUUUAUUGGAUUAAAUGAGAAAAAGUACUCGUUGCAAAGUUAUACUGUUAGGGCGCAACUGAGUAGUCUUUUUUUGUUCCGGUUUUUGUUCUUUUAAAGGUUGACAUCAAUUCGUUCCAUAUUUACACUCUCGGGGUAUAAUAGAACAAUAUAAUUCGCUUUUACUUUUUGUUCGAUUUAAUAAUAAAAAGUACUCGUUACAAAGUUAUACAGUUAGCGCGUAACUGAGUAGUCUACUUUUGUUCCGGUUUAGGUUCUUUCGAAGGUUGACAUCCAUUCGUUCCAUAUUUACACUCUCGCGGUAUAAUAGAAUAAUAUAAUUAGAUUUUACUCUUUGUUCGAUUGAAUGAGAAAAAGUACUCGUUGCAAAGUUAUAUUGUUAGGGCGGAACUGAGUAGUCUUUUUUUGUUCCGUUUUUUGUUCUUGUGAAGGUUGAUAUCGAUUCGUUCCAAAUUUACACUCUCAGGACACAAUAGAAAAAUAUAAUUAGCUUUUACACUUUGUUCGAUUGAAUGAGAAAAAGUACUCGUUGCAAAGUUAUACUGUUAGGACGCAACUGAGUAGUCUUUUUUGUUCCGGUUAUUGUUCUUUUAAAGGUUGACAUCAAUUCGUUGCAUAUUUACACUCUCGGGGUAUAAUAGAAUAAUAUAAUUAUCUUUUACUCUUUGUUCGAUUGAAUGAUAAAAAGUACUCGUUGCAAGUUAUACUGUUAGGGCGCAACUGAGUAGUCUAUUUUUGUUCCGGUUUUCGUUCUUGUGAAUGUUGAUAUCGAUUCGUUCCAAAUUUACACUCUCGGGGCACAAUAGAACAAUAUAAUUAGCUUUAACUCUUUAUUCGAUUAAAUGAGAAAAAGUACUCGUUGCAAAGUUAUACUGUUAGGGCGCAACUGAGUAGUCUUUUUUUGUUCCGGUUUUGGUUCUUUUAAAGUUUGACAUCAAUUCGUUCCAUAUUUACACUCUCGGUGUAUAAUAGAACAAUAUAAUUAGCUUUUACUGUUUGUUCGAUUGAAUGAUAAAAAUUACUCGUUACAAAGUUAUACAGUUAGGGCGUAACUGAGUAGUCUACUUUUGUUCCGGUUUUGGUGUGUUUGAAGGUUGACAUCCAUUCGUACCAUAUUUACACUCUCGCGGUAUAAUAGAACAAUAUAAUUAGAUUUUACUCUUUGUUCGAUUGAAUAAGAAAAAGUACUCGUUCCAAAGUUAUACUGUUUGGGCGCAACUGAGUAGUCUAUUUUUGUUCCGGUUUUGGUUCUUGUGAAUGUUGAGAUCGAUUCGUUCCAUAUUUACACUCUCUGGGCAUAAUAGAACAAUAUAAUUAGCUUUAACUCUUUAUUGGAUUAAAUGAGAAAAAGUACUCGUUGCAAUGUUAUACUGUUAGGGCGCAACUGAGUAGUCUUUUUUUGUUCCGAUUUUGGUUCUUUUAUAGGUUGACAUCAAUUCGUUCCAUAUUUACACUCGCGGGGUAUAAUUGAACAAUAUAAUUAGCUUUUACUCUUUGUUCGAUUCAAUGAUAAAAAGCACUCGUUACAAAGUUAUACAGUUAGGGCGUAACUGAGUAGUCUACAUUUGUUCCGGUUUAGGUUCUUUUGAAGGUUGACAUCCAUUCGUUCCAUAUUUAUACUCUCGCGGUAUAAUAGAACAAUAUAAUUAGCUUUUACUAUUUGUUCGAUUGAAUGAGAAAAAGUACUCGUCGCUAAGUUAUAUUGUUAGGGCGGAACUGAGUAGUCUUUUUUUGUUCCGUUUUGGUUCUUGUGAAGGUUGACAUCGAUUCGUUCCAAAUUUACACUCUCCAGACACAAUAGAACAAUAUAAUUAUCUUUUACUCUCUGUUCGAUUAAAUGACAAAUAGUACUCGUUGCAAAGUUAUACUGUUAGGGCGCAUCUGAGUAGUCUACUUUUGUUCCGAUUUUGGUGUUUUUGAAGGUUGACAUCCAUUCGUACCAUAUUUACACCCUCGCGGUAUAAUAGAACAAUAUAAUUAGAUUUUACUCUUUGUUCGAUUGAAUGAUAAAAAGUACUCGUUGCAAAGUUAUACUGUUAGGGCACAACUGAGUAGUCUACUUUUGUUCCGGUUUAGGUUCUUUUGAAGGUUGACAUCCAUUCGUUCCAUAUUUAUACUCUCGCGGUAUAAUAGAACAAUAUAAUUAGCUUUUACUAUUUGUUCGAUUGAAUGAGAAAAAGUACUCGUCGCUAAGUUAUAUUGUUAGGGCGGAACUGAGUAGUCUUUUUUUGUUCCGUUUUGGUUCUUGUGAAGGUUGACAUCGAUUCGUUCCAAAUUUACACUCUCCAGACACAAUAGAACAAUAUAAUUAUCUUUUACUCUCUGUUCGAUUAAAUGAGAAAUAGUACUCGUUGCAAAGUUAUACUGUUAGGGCGCAUCUGAGUAGUCUACUUUUGUUCCGGUUUUGGUGUUUUUGAAGGUUGACAUCCAUUCGUACCAUAUUUACACUCUCGCGGUAUAAUAGAACAAUAUAAUUAGAUUUUACUCUUUGUUCGAUUGAAUAAAAAAAAGUACUCGUUCCGAAGUUAUACUGUUUGGGCGCAACUGAGCAGUCUUUUUUGUUCCGGUUUUUGUUCUUUUAAAGGUUGACAUCAAUUCGUUCCAUAUUUACACCUCUGCGCAUAAUAGAACAAUAUAAUUAGCUUUUACUCUUUGUUCGAUUAAAUGAGAAAAAGUACUCGUUACAAAGUUAUACUGUUAGGACGCAACUGAGUAGUCUUUUUUGUUCCGAUUUUUAUUCUUUUAAAGGUUGACAUCAAUUCGUUCCAUAUUUACACUCUCGGGGUAUAAUAGAACAAUAUAAUUACCUUUUACUCUUUGUUCGAUUGAAUGAUAAAAAGUACUCGUUGCAAAGUUAUACUGUUAGGGCACAACUGAGUAGUCUACUUUUGUUCCGGUUUUGGUGUUUUUGAAGGUUGACAUCCAUUCGUACCAUAUUUACACUCUCGCGGUAUAAUAGAACAAUAUAAUUA
This 4382-nucleotide long non-coding RNA is filed under the name Ananas comosus (pineapple). RNAcentral's name for it is "long non-coding RNA (ACOM_LNC039214)". Lineage: Eukaryota; Viridiplantae; Streptophyta; Magnoliopsida; Poales; Bromeliaceae. The record is from RNAcentral.